Molecule: long non-coding RNA, 334 nt
Filed under: Nicotiana tabacum (common tobacco)
Lineage: Eukaryota; Viridiplantae; Streptophyta; Magnoliopsida; Solanales; Solanaceae
Description: long non-coding RNA (NTAB_LNC008700)
Source: RNAcentral
CAUGACCACCUUUCACCAGCUCAAGCUCCUAAGCCUCACAAAGGCCACCACCACCCCAAACAUUCCCCAGCCCCUUCACCAACUAAGCCUCCCACUUAUAGCCCAUCGAAACCACCAGUUAAACCACCGGUUAAACCACCAACUAAGGCUCCCACUUAUAGCCCAUCAAAACCACCAGCUAAGCCACCAGUUAAACCACCAACACCAACACCAUCACCUUAUCCUGCUCCUGCUCCUAUUACUAGGAAACCUGUAGCAGUCCGUGGCCUUGUUUACUGCAAGCCGUGCAAGUUUAGAGGGGUUAAAACUCUAAACCAAGCUUCCCCACUCCUGG